UACGUAGGGUGCAAGCGUUGUCCGGAAUUAUUGGGCGUAAAGAGCUCGUAGGCGGUUUGUCGCGUCGAAUGUGAAAACCCGGGGCUCAACUCCGGGCCUGCAUUCGAUACGGGCAGACUAGAGUUCGGUAGGGGAGACUGGAAUUCCUGGUGUAGCGGUGAAAUGCGCAGAUAUCAGGAGGAACACCGGUGGCGAAGGCGGGUCUCUGGGCCGAUACUGACGCUGAGGAGCGAAAGCGUGGGGAGCGAACAGG
Molecule: ribosomal RNA, 253 nt
Filed under: uncultured bacterium
Lineage: Bacteria
Description: partial 16S ribosomal RNA
Rfam family: Bacterial small subunit ribosomal RNA
Source: RNAcentral